UAGGGAAUCUUCGGCAAUGGACGAAAGUCUGACCGAGCAACGCCGCGUGAGUGAAGAAGGUUUUCGGAUCGCAAAACUCUGUUGUUAGAGAAGAACAAGGACGUUAGUAACUGAACGUCCCCUGACGGUAUCUAACCAGAAAGCCACGGCUAACUACGUGCCAGCAGCCGCGGUAAUACGUAGGUGGCAAGCGUUGUCCGGAUUUAUUGGGCGUAAAGCGAGCGCAGGCGGUUUCUUAAGUCUGAUGUGAAAGCCCCCGGCUCAACCGGGGAGGGUCAUUGGAAACUGGGAGACUUGAGUGCAGAAGAGGAGAGUGGAAUUCCAUGUGUAGCGGUGAAAUGCGUAGAUAUAUGGAGGAACACCAGUGGCGAAGGCGGCUCUCUGGUCUGUAACUGACGCUGAGGCUCGAAAGCGUGGGGAGCAAACAGG
RNAcentral lists this ribosomal RNA (429 nucleotides) under Chloroflexota bacterium. Its description in RNAcentral is "Chloroflexi bacterium partial 16S ribosomal RNA". It matches the Rfam family "Bacterial small subunit ribosomal RNA", at positions 355 to 776 of the family's 1533-position model. RNAcentral also lists the same sequence under 1 other name. Lineage: Bacteria; Bacillati; Chloroflexota. The record is from RNAcentral.